This 493-nucleotide ribosomal RNA is filed under the name uncultured bacterium. RNAcentral's name for it is "partial 16S ribosomal RNA". It matches the Rfam family "Bacterial small subunit ribosomal RNA", at positions 29 to 507 of the family's 1533-position model. The record is from RNAcentral.
AACGAACGCUGGCGGCGCGUCUUAAACAUGCAAGUCGAACGGCAGGAAGGGGCUUGCCCCUUCUGAGAGUGGCGGACUGGUGAGUAACACGUGGGUGACAUACCUUUUAGUUGGGGAUAGCUAUUAGAAAUAGUAGGUAAUACCGAAUGUGACCGUACCUGUUAGAGGGGUACGAGGAAAGGAGCUAAGGCUUCGCUAAAAGAAUGGCUCGCGGCCCAUUAUGCUCGUUGGUGAGGUAACGGCCCACCAAGGCGAUGAUGGGUAUCCGGCCUGAGAGGGUGAUCGGACACAUUGGGACUGAGAUACGGCCCAGACUUCUACGGGAGGCAGCAGUUAAGAAUAUUCCGCAAUGGACGAAAGUCUGACGGAGCGGCGCCGCGUGGAUGAAGAAUGCCGAAAGGUUGUAAAAUCCUUUUAAGCCUGAUGAAUAAGCACAGUAGGGAAUGAUUGUGCGGUGACCGUAGGGCUUGAAUAAGCACCGGCUAAUUACGUG